AUGGCAUCUGGCCUCGGAUGGGACCAGGCGCUGCAGGAGAUCUUCGACGAUAACAAUACCAAGCUCUCAUACGCGCGCGAGGUGGGUACCUGGUACACCAACGUUGCAAUCUUCAAGAAUCAUGCGCGCGCACUGAUUGAGAACUUGGUCUGGGUGAUGGGGGAGGCCAAAGAUUCUCCGGGUCCAUUCCAACAGGCACGAUGCUACAUGUACCAGAACCGCGACCAACUGCACGUGGACUACAAGCUCGACAUGGUGGUGCCAGUGCUGCCCAUCGCUCUGAUGGAGAUGAAGCCGCCACAGAUGGAGCAGUAG
RNAcentral lists this ribosomal RNA (315 nucleotides) under Triticum aestivum (bread wheat). Its description in RNAcentral is "partial small subunit ribosomal RNA". The record is from RNAcentral. Lineage: Eukaryota; Viridiplantae; Streptophyta; Magnoliopsida; Poales; Poaceae.